GUUGCACCUAGAGCGCGAAAGCGUCGAGUGGAAACUUGAGCUCUGGGCCCUCUGGCCGAGGCCCUGUGUGUGAGGGGCUGCGUUGAGAGGGAGGAUGAACGAGGCCACCUCCCGCGCCCCGGGGAGUGCGGGUCCCUCCAGCUCGGAGCUUCGGCUGCAGGGGACCCCGGUUUCCACACCAUUGUCAAGAAACUUGGCGAGGGACGCGCAGAGAGCUCCAAAGGCGUGUGGCAGGAAGCCUCCUCUUCAGACAUGGCUGGUGAAGACUCCAUGGUUCUAGGGUUAGCGGCUAAGCCAGACGCAAGAGUGUUAGGAGUGGAGUGGAAUAGACCACCAUCAUCAGUUCCAUCACCCAGCUUUCCUCAGUGUGAUUCAAGCAUUGAUCCACAGGAAGCAAGAGUCAGCAGGAAGUAUAGGUUCCAUCUGCCAAUUUGAAACCUGUGAGUGUGGGAGAUUCAUGCCAUCUUCCUGGCUUAGAUCCCUAAGCUGGCACCAGAACCUUCUGGAAUAGACUGGAGUAGUGACAAUGAGUUGUACCAGAAUGUAUCUAGAGUAGAGCUGGGUAGCCAAACCCUGUGCUACAUCUACCACUCCUCACUGAGAUAAUGGUUUAAAAAUUAUGGGUGUACUUUUGUUUUUUAAACACAGAACAAUUAUUAUUACAAGAAUUUUAAAUUCAUCUAUUUGGUUGGACCUAGUGUUAUUCUUUCGGUCCCUGGUCACUUUAAGGAACAAGUCACACCCACUCCCAGCUACCUCUGACCUCUCAUCGCCAUCUUGAAUUUCCUCUCUUGCCGUUCCCUUU
Molecule: long non-coding RNA, 805 nt
Organism: Arvicola amphibius (Eurasian water vole)
Lineage: Eukaryota; Metazoa; Chordata; Mammalia; Rodentia; Cricetidae
Exons: 3
Source: RefSeq, a predicted model, not a curated record